RNAcentral lists this ribosomal RNA (429 nucleotides) under Chloroflexota bacterium. RNAcentral's name for it is "Chloroflexi bacterium partial 16S ribosomal RNA". It matches the Rfam family "Bacterial small subunit ribosomal RNA", at positions 355 to 776 of the family's 1533-position model. RNAcentral also lists the same sequence under 1 other name. Lineage: Bacteria; Bacillati; Chloroflexota. The record is from RNAcentral.
UAGGGAAUCUUCGGCAAUGGACGAAAGUCUGACCGAGCAACGCCGCGUGAGUGAAGAAGGAUUUCGGAUCGUAAAACUCUGUUGUUAGAGAAGAACAAGGACGUUAGUAACUGAACGUCCCCUGACGGUAUCUAACCAGAAAGCCACGGCUAACUACGUGCCAGCAGCCGCGGUAAUACGUAGGUGGCAAGCGUUGUCCGGAUUUAUUGGGCGUAAAGCGAGCGCAGGCGGUUUCUUAAGUCUGAUGUGAAAGCCCCCGGCUCAACCGGGGAGGGUCAUUGGAAACUGGGAGACUUGAGUGCAGAAGAGGAGAGUGGAAUUCCAUGUGUAGCGGUGAAAUGCGUAGAUAUAUGGAGGAACACCAGUGGCGAAGGCGGCUCUCUGGUCUGUAACUGACGCUGAGGCUCGAAAGCGUGGGGAGCAAACAGG